UUAAAUACGAUUGGUUUCAAAUCGAGUGUGACUUGACAAUAAGUCACAAUGAAAUCUAAAAAUAUUUACAUCAGAAGAGAAAACAAACUUUUAAUAAAACAUCGGAGCAAAUACAUACAAGCAUACUACAUACUAUCCAAGUGUAUAUGCUCGUAUGGGCUUCAAAUGCAUAUCCCGAAAAUUGUUCUAGAGAUGAAUCAACGGCAAAUAAUAUAAUAUAAAUAGAAAAAACAGUGGAUAUUGAGUGACCAGACAUUAAUAAUCUUCGUUUCUCAUUGGAACUAUACUUAAAAAAGAUUGACUAUUUAGAGAAGCAAAAAAUGAAAAAAGAAAUUGGUAGACUGAAAUAUACUCGGGAAUCAGUUUCGAAAUUGAUCGUGUGUACUUGUGAGAUAUUCCUUUCGACAAACUCCCAGAUAUAUGAUUCCACUGUGUAGACGGGAAAGGGGGACUUAAUCCAUGUCACUUGAAUCUCGGAGACUUACAUGUGUAAGCGCUAUAAUUUCUGUUAUAAAACUAUAAUUAAUUUGAAGUUAAUUUUUGUAAACUGGCAAUCAAUAAUUUUUCUUAGCAAUUAUUAAAAUUUGAAGCAUAGUAUAGGAAGAAAUAAAUAUUCUAUAAUAUGCCCUCCGUGAUAGUGAGG
Ceratitis capitata (Mediterranean fruit fly) is the source of this 643-nucleotide long non-coding RNA. RefSeq lists it as uncharacterized. NCBI's taxonomy places the organism in Eukaryota, Metazoa, Arthropoda, Insecta, Diptera, Tephritidae. The transcript has 3 exons. The record is from RefSeq and is a predicted model, not a curated record.